This 84-nucleotide transfer RNA is filed under the name Candidatus Zambryskibacteria bacterium CG_4_9_14_3_um_filter_42_9. RNAcentral's name for it is "tRNA-Leu". It matches the Rfam family "tRNA". Rfam says of the family: Transfer RNA (tRNA) molecules are approximately 80 nucleotides in length. RNAcentral also lists the same sequence under 1 other name. Lineage: Bacteria; Candidatus Zambryskiibacteriota. The record is from RNAcentral.
GGGUCAGUGGCGGAAUAGGUUUACGCGCAACACUUAAAAUGUUGUCCGCGCAAGCGGAUGAGGGUUCGACUCCCUCCUGACCCA